This 136-nucleotide long non-coding RNA is filed under the name Laticauda laticaudata (blue-ringed sea krait). Its description in RNAcentral is "lncRNA (ENSLLTG00000003203.1)". The record is from RNAcentral. Lineage: Eukaryota; Metazoa; Chordata; Lepidosauria; Squamata; Elapidae.
AAAGAUUAGACUCCGACGAGUGGGCACCUUCUAGCGCACGGUACCGAGGGCUUUGAGUGGUAGACGUUUGGCAGAGAGACAUUAUCGCUUCGGGUUUUCCUCAAACGCAGCAGCUUCCCGCCUUGCAAAUGAAGCC